GAAGCCCGCCAGACCACCGCUGGUGCAAUUUGGGAAACCAAGCACUGGAGGAACGUCCGGACUGCAUAGGGCAGCGUAGCAGUUAACGACUGUCCACUGACAAGCCGGCCACGCAAGUGGCAGGCCCUAAGGUGAGGAUUAGAGCAACAGAGACGAGCCGAUUUAGUUCGGGUGAAACGGGCAAUCUCUACGCGCAGCAAUACCAAGUAGGCCAACGUUGACGGGGCCCCCGGAGUUGGCGGGUAGGUAGCAUCGAGCCGUUUGGGUGACCAGCGGCCCAGAGUAAUGGUGGUCACGUGGGGGAAACCCCAUGCACAGAAUCCGGCUUAUCGGUGGGCUUCACAC
This 345-nucleotide RNase P RNA is filed under the name Rhodoferax sp. RNAcentral describes it as "RNase P RNA component class A". It matches the Rfam family "Bacterial RNase P class A". From Rfam's summary of the family: Ribonuclease P (RNase P) is a ubiquitous endoribonuclease, found in archaea, bacteria and eukarya as well as chloroplasts and mitochondria. RNAcentral also lists the same sequence under 1 other name. Lineage: Bacteria; Pseudomonadati; Pseudomonadota; Betaproteobacteria; Burkholderiales; Comamonadaceae. The record is from RNAcentral.